AGCAGCCGCGGUAAUUCCAGCUCCAAUAGCGUAUAUUAAAGUUGUUGCAGUUAAAAAAGCUCGUAGUUGAAUUUCGGGGUCAGUAGAUUGGUCAUGCCACUGGUAUGUACUGGUCUCACUGAUUCCUCCUUCCUGAUGAGACGUAAUGCCAUUAAUUUGGUGUUGCGAGGAAUCUGGACUGUUACUUUGAAAAAAUUAGAGUGUUUAAAGCAGGCUAACGCUUGAAUACAUUAGCAUAGGAAUAAUGAAAUAGGACGUUUGAUUCUAUUUUGUUGGUUUCUAGGAUCGACGUAAUGAUUAAUAGGGAUAGUUGGGGGCAUUAGUAUUCAAUUGUCAGAGGUGAAAUUCUUGGAUUUAUUGAAGACUAACUAACUGCGAAAGCAUUUGCCUAAGGAUGUUUUCAUUAAUCAAGAACGAAAGUUAGGGGAUCGAAGACGAUCAGAUACCGUCGUAGUCUUAACCAUAAACUAUAGCCGACUACGGGAUCGGAUGAUGUUAAUUUUUAAUGUACUCUACG
Molecule: ribosomal RNA, 517 nt
Filed under: uncultured Glomus
Lineage: Eukaryota; Fungi; Glomeromycota; Glomeromycetes; Glomerales; Glomeraceae
Description: SSU rRNA
Rfam family: Eukaryotic small subunit ribosomal RNA
Source: RNAcentral